GGUGUUUAUAAUACUUUGACUUGAAAAGAUACUUGAAAUCAUAGGAAAUAACUUCAUUCUAAACAUGGGUAUUGCCAAAGUCUUGCCCACAAAGUUCAAAGGUCAAAUCCAGUAUCUGCCAAUAUACUGGAUAGUAAGAUUAUCUCACUAUCUGCCGAUAGAGGGAGGGGGAAAUUGCCCUGGGCCCCAACCUUAAUAGGGCCCCAACUUGCAUGAGAGCCUAAAAUUGAGUAUGUCCUUUAAAUUGAUGAGAGCAUUUUUGAAAUUGAGGGCCGCUUACAGUAGCUCCACAUGCAGUCUAGCUAAGGUCUAGUCAUGGGGCCCCCAGAGAAGAUUUGCCCAGGGCUCUGCAAAUUCUCUCGGCAGCCCUGAGCCUGGAUAUGAUAUCCGGUAUAUUUCAAACCUUUGUCCAAGCACAGGUAGAUUCACUCAGUAAGAAUGUCAUUUUAUCUGUUCCGUACGGCGGUACAUUUUCAGAGGGCAAUGUAAACAGCUCUUAUAUAGCAAUAAAGACAGGUGCUUUGAGCUGACCUGCCUGAAAAGUCUCAAGUAAACAUGGAUGAAAUUCUACUUGGUUGUUGGUACAACACUAUGUACAAUGAACUCUGGUAUCUGGGCUACCUCGGUUCCAUAUAAACACACAACUUGACCAGGGCCGUAGCUAGACCGAUGAUUUGGGGGGGGGGGGGUAUAUUCAUAUAUUCGUGUUCUGCCCAGACAGAUUUCUUUUGAAAGCGAUUGUUUUUACGGUAUGUGAACAUGAAUAUAUGAAUAUACACCACCCCAAUUAUCGCGUCUAGCUACGGCCCUGAACUUGAUUCAUAAGUCAUAAACAUUUACUAAUUAUGGCAUUAUGCCAUAUUAGUGUCUGCAUAGUACUUAGCAUAUUGGGAUAUUUCUUCAGGGCAAUCAGGAGAUCAUAUAUAAUUUUUGAGCUUGGAAUUCCUCAGAGGUAUAACUAUGAGAAACAUGAUGUUUGUGAUGUUACUCUGAGU
Molecule: non-coding RNA, 995 nt
Organism: Paramuricea clavata
Lineage: Eukaryota; Metazoa; Cnidaria; Anthozoa; Malacalcyonacea; Plexauridae
Source: the annotation of a GenBank genome assembly